Molecule: long non-coding RNA, 380 nt
Organism: Sinocyclocheilus anshuiensis
Lineage: Eukaryota; Metazoa; Chordata; Actinopteri; Cypriniformes; Cyprinidae
Exons: 3
Source: RefSeq, a predicted model, not a curated record
AGAGCACGGUCUGAUCCAGUCCAAAAUGGAUGUUCACAUCACGAUGAAGGUUGGGAAUAGCUCUGUCUGUUUGCUUUAACUCACUGACCAGCGCUGAUGCCAUCAGACAGUCCAAAUCACUUCUGCCAUUGCAGGUGAAGAUUUCCCAAAGGACCACUCCAAAGCUCCAGAUGUCACUCUCCGUGGUGAACUUCCUGUACAUGAUGCUUUCUGGCGGCAUCCAGCGAAUGGGUAGCAUCGUCCUCCCACCGACCUGAUGAGGUGAUCAAGAACAGAUUACAACCAAACAUCUCUGCUGUGGUCCCCGAUCUUCACCACCAGCCCUUCUCCGACUAAACAGUUCCUGGUGGCCAGGUCUCUGUGGACGAAAUGAAGGGAAG